RNAcentral lists this ribosomal RNA (372 nucleotides) under uncultured organism. Its description in RNAcentral is "bacterial SSU rRNA". It matches the Rfam family "Bacterial small subunit ribosomal RNA", at positions 526 to 896 of the family's 1533-position model. The record is from RNAcentral.
CGUAGGGCGCGAGCGUUGUCCGGAUUUAUUGGGCGUAAAGAGCUCGUAGGCGGCUUGUUGCGUCGACCGUGAAAACCCGUGGCUUAACUGCGGGCUUGCGGUCGAUACGGGCGGGCUGGAGUUCGGUAGGGGAGACUGGAAUUCCUGGUGUAGCGGUGAAAUGCGCAGAUAUCAGGAGGAACACCGGUGGCGAAGGCGGGUCUCUGGCCGAUACUGACGCUGAGGAGCGAAAGCGUGGGGAGCGAACAGGAUUAGAUACCCUGGUAGUCCACGCUGUAAACGUUGGGCGCUAGGUGUGGGGGGCCUCUCCGGUUUCCUGUGCCGCAGCUAACGCAUUAAGCGCCCCGCCUGGGGAGUACGGCCGCAAGGCUA